This is a long non-coding RNA of Oncorhynchus tshawytscha (Chinook salmon), 2902 nucleotides long. NCBI's taxonomy places the organism in Eukaryota, Metazoa, Chordata, Actinopteri, Salmoniformes, Salmonidae. The record is from Ensembl.
ACUGCGGUACUAGUGGGUCUAUGGGUCUUACUGCAGUACUAGUGGGUCUAUGGGUCUUACUGCAGUACUAGUGGGUCUAUGGGUCUUACCUUCAGUACUAGUGGGUCUAUGGGUCUUACUGCAGUACUAGUGGGUCUAUGGGUCUUACUGCAGUACUAGUGUGGUUCUACAAUCCAUUGAUCUCAUCCUGAGAUGUUUCAUGAUGAUCUCAGACUGAGGUGAUAUUUCUAAUAAUACUGGGUUGGACAUAGUCACCGCAGAGCGGAGGGCACAACUUGGCUUGUUCAACCGGUUAAUUAAUGUGUGAUAACAGAUAUGUGUGAGAUAUCAGACACUCCUGUGGUUGUGUGUGAUUACUUCAUAGUCUGUGGACUCUAGUGGUUAGUCAGGACUUAGAUACUAACUGACAUGGAACAGAGUCCAUUCCCUGACUACAGUGAAAUAGGCCUACCGCCUACUCCGGAGAUAUGCAUUGGCUUGGGACAGUGAUCCCCAGGAAUCUAUUUAAUUAAUGCACACAGCUUUUUCACUAAUAAAAUGUUGAAAAGACUACAUCACUAUUUAUUGUUACCAAUAUGACCAUUAGAAUAACAAAUUCAAACUGCUGUUUCAUCAUGAUAUCUUGUUGCUGUUAAUCUGCAUUAUAAGGCUGCGUUGAGACAAUGACUUAUUAAAGACCCAAGCCCAGCUCAGUUAAUCCCUACCAUUGUGACGCUGAGUUGUCAUAAUGCUUCAGGCAAAUGUACAUUACACCAGGGGUGUUGGUAGACACAAUGUACGUCACCAAAUAUAUGUCCCUCUAACUGCCUGAAAGCCUCUGUUGAUCCUACAGCUAUUGCCUGCAGUAAUCAUGUGCCUAUGAACCAGAGUUACACUAUUAGCACUAAGGAGGUGUGUCCUAGUAGGAAGACCACUGUUAACACUGAGGAGGUGUGUCCUAGUAGGAAGACCACUGUUAACACUGAGGAGGUGUGUCCUAGUAGGAAGACCACUGUUAACACUGAGGUGGUGUGUCCUCGUAGGAAGACCACUGUUAACACUGAGGAGAUGUGUCCUAGUAGGAAGACCACUGUUAGCACUAAGGAGGUGUGUCCUAGUAGGAAGACCACUGUUAACACUGAGGAGAUGUGUCCUAGUAGGAAGACCACUGAGGUGGUGUGUCCCAGUAGGAAGACCACUGUUAACACUGAGGUGUGUCCUAGUAGGAAGGCCACUGUUAACACUGAGGAGAUGUGUCCUAGUAGGAAGACCACUGUUAGCACUAAGGAGGUGUGUCCUAGUAGGAAGACCACUGAGGUGGUGUGUCCCAGUAGGAAGACCACUGUUACCACUGAGGAGGUGUGUCCAAUAGGAAGACCACUGUUACCACUGAGGAGGUGUGUCCUAGUAGGAAGACCACUGUUAACACUGAGGUGUGUCCUAGUAGGAAGACCACUGAGGUGGUGUGUCCUAGUAGGAAGACCACUGUUAACACUGAGGUGGUGUGUCCUAGUAGGAAGACCACUGUUAACACUGAGGUGGUGUGUCCUAGUAGGAAGACCACUGUUAACACUGAGGAGGUGUGUCCUAGUAGGAAGACCACUGUUAACACUGAGGUGGUGUGUCCUAGUAGGAAGACCACUGUUAACACUGAGGAGGUGUGUCCUAGUAGGAAGACCACUGAGGUGGUGUGUCCUAGUAGGAAGACCACUGUUAACACUGAGGAGGUGUGUCCUAGUAGGAAGACCACUGAGGUGGUGUGUCCCAGUAGGAAGACCACUGUUAACACUGAGGAGGUGUGUCCUAGUAGGAAGACCACUGAGGUGGUGUGUCCUAUAGGAAGACCACUUAACACUGAGGAGGUGUGUCCUAGUAGGAAGACCACUGAGGUGGUGUGUCCUAGUAAGAAGACCACUUAACACUGAGGUGGUGUGUCCUAGUAGGAAGACCACUGAGGAGGUGUGUCCUAGUAGGAAGACCACUGUUAACACUGAGGAGGUGUGUCCUAGUAGGAAGACCACUGAGGUGGUGUGUCCUAUAGGAAGACCACUGUGUGCAUCUCACCCUGCAUUAAUAAAAAAAAAACACAUGAGUAUGUCUGUCUACCUCUGCUAAGCUUCCCAGUAAAGUAAUAAAAACAACCAAGCAUCCCAGAAAUGUGUUAAAAAUAGCCCGUGGUAAUAUAUGUAGCUUAAGAAACAAGGUUCAUCAAGUCAAUAAUUUGCUAGUAACAGAUUACAUUCAUAAUACCUUAGAUGAUACAGUGGUAGCAAUAGAAGGUUAUAACAUUGACAGAGAAGAUAGAAAUGCCAAAGGUGGAGGUGUUGCUGUUUGUAUUCAGAACCACAUUCCUGUGAAGAAUAGAGAGGAUCUCAUGUUAAAUACUGUUGAAGUAAUAUGGCUACAGGUUCAUCUGCCUCACCUAAAGCCCAUUCUGGUGGGAAGCUGCUAUAGACCACCAAGUGCUAACAGUCAGUAUCUGGAUAACGUGUGAAAUGCUUGAUAAUGUAUGUGACAUCAACAGAGAGGUAUAUUUUCUGGGUGAUUUAAAUAUUGACCAGCUUUCAUCAAGCUGCCCACUCAAGGAAAAGCUUUAAAGUGUAAACAGCACAGGAAUGAAAACAGCAACAUGUAUUGAUGUAUUGAUCACAUCUUUACUGAUGCUGCAGAACUCGGCUCUAAAGCAGCAUCCAGGUCCAUUGGAUGUAGUGAUCACAAUAUAGUAGCCAUAACCAGGAAAACCUAAGUUCCAAAGGCUGGAACUUAUAUAGUGUAUAAGAGGUCAUAUAAGACGUUUUGUUGUGAUUCCUAUGUUGUUGAUGUAAAUCAUAUUUGCUGGUCUGUGGUGUGUAAUGAGGAGCAACCAGACGCUGCUGGUCUGUGGUGUGUAAUGAGGAGCAACCAGACGCUGCUGGUCUGUGGU